GGAGACAGGGUCUCACUCUGUUGCCAGGCUGGAGUACAAUGGCAGGAUCAAAGAUCACUGCAGCCUCAAUCUUCCGUGCUUAAACUAUCCUCCCACCUCAGCCUCCCGAGUAGCUCGAAUCACAGGCAUGUACCACCACGCCUGGCUAAUUUUUUAAAAUUUUUGAAGAAACACGCUGUAUCUAUAUUGUCCAGGCUGGUCUCAAGUCAUGACAAGUGAUCCUCCCACCUCGGCCUCCCAAAGUGUUGCGAUUAUGGGUGUGAGCCACUGCCCAGCCUCCAUUGUUUUUGCAAUGUAGGUACUUAAAUUAUGUGGUAUGUUCAUAUGUACCUAUGUAUUUAUUGUCCCUCAUAUAAAUAUUAAAACAUUACAAAUAAAAGUAAUAUUCCUUCUUUGACCACUCAACCCCUUCAAGAGGUACUCUAUUAUAAAGUGUAUCCUUCCAGUCCAUAUAUCUCUUUGAAAUAAAUACUAGUAUAAUGUGAUUAACAUAUAAAGAUAGUUGAUGAGCAGGAUUCCUUACUCAUGUAUCUUGGGUUUGUCUUUGAAGUGUAUCCUUGCCUGGUACAGUAUGGGGGUUGUAAAUUGCCAUGGAAAUUUAAAGCAGGUUCUUGUUGGUGCACAGCACAAAUUAGUUAUAUACGGGGAUGGUAGUUUUUUCAUCUUCAGUCGUCUCUGAUGUGGCUUAUACGAAAUAAUUGUUCUCUUAACUGAAUACCACUCUUUUUUGAGACGGGUCUUGCUCUGUUGCCCAGGCUGGAAUGCAGUGGUGCCAUCUCGGCUCACUGCAACUUCCGCCUCCUGGGUUCAAGCAAUUCUCCUGCCUCAGCCUCCCAAACAGCUGGGAUUACAGCUGCCUGAAACCACACCCAGCUAAGUUUUAUAUUUUUAGUAGAGAUGGGGUUUCACCAUGUUGGCCAGGCUGGUCUUGAACUCCUGACCUCAGGUGAUCUGCCUGCCUCGGCCUCCCAAAGUGCUGGGAUUACAGCUCCCAAUCUCACGCCCGCCUCAGCCUCCCAAAGUGCUGUGCCUGGGCAAUAAAACAUUUUUUUAAAAGUCUUGGGAAAAAAGGCAGUGGAGGUGGGGUGGGAGGGUGAUGAUGGUAGCAGAUCCAUAGGAGGCUAACUGGUGAAAUCCAGCUCCUUCUCCAGGGUUAGCUCAAAAGUCCACCUACUGCAUGUUUUGACGUAAUUAUUAAAAGUAAUUUCUUAUACUGAACAUUUUGUUGAAAUAAAAAUGAUUUAUAAAAACAAGACACAACACCUUUACCUGGAUUUCAGAUAAACACAAACAGAUCGCAGAUCCAGGUUUCUCAAACUGGAGCAUCUGCUUAAUUUUCCCAUAAAAUCAGUCUUAUUCUAUGAAUACACACAAGAAGGGGAAACUUUAGAGAAGACUACAGGGAAACACGAAGUAGUUAAACACAACUAACCUUGAAAAUAAUUUGUUAGUAUUCCUAAACAUCACUUUUGUGUAGCAAAAUGUUUCACUGUACAAAUGCUCACCUAAAGUGAAAAAAAAAAAAAAAGUGGAAAAAAAAAAUCACUCCUAGGGUCCAAGAAAAAUUCUCAUAUUGUUUGUAGAGAUGAGGUUUCACCAUGUUGUCCCAAACUCCUGGGCUCAAGCCAUCUGCUCACCUCGGUCUCCCAAAGUGCUGGGAUUACAGGCUUCAGCCACCACACCAGGCCUUCAGCCUUAUAUUUCCACUUCUGGGAGUUUAUUCCAAAAAUAAUCAGGGAUGUGAAAGAAGAUUUAGAUGCCCAGAAAUUUCAGCAUCUAAAAUUCAUCAUUUACGUUCAUGCAAAAAUAACUGCGGUUUCAGACCAUGAAUUUUAUAUCAUUAUAACUAGGCUCAAACACAUCUUUAUUAAUCAAAAUAGAAACCAUUACAAUCAACACAUUUUUAAGUUGUUUAUUCCUGUAGUGUAGAAAUCCAUGCUUUAGGAUUCGACGAACUCUUGGAAAGCAUUUUCUGCAUCCUGCUAGUUGUGGAAGUGUUUUCCCUGCAAAAAGGUGUCGCAAUGCUUGAAGAAGUCGUAGUCAAUGGAGAGAGGUCAGGUGAAUAUGGCGGAUGAGGCAAAAUGUCACAGCCCAAUUUGUUCAACUUUUGAAGCAUUGGUUGUGCAACAUGCUUUCUGACAGCUCUGAGACUCCUCCGGCCACGACUAGGUGCUGUCCUGGAGGAAACGGUGGAGGACGGCCGCACAAAAACCAAUCUACCUGAUGAAAACUCCGUUCCCUUCUCGCCAGAAACA
This 2255-nucleotide long non-coding RNA is filed under the name Homo sapiens (human). Its description in RNAcentral is "non-protein coding lnc-ARID4A-2:1". Lineage: Eukaryota; Metazoa; Chordata; Mammalia; Primates; Hominidae. The record is from RNAcentral.